RNAcentral lists this unclassified non-coding RNA (225 nucleotides) under Hevea brasiliensis (rubber tree). Lineage: Eukaryota; Viridiplantae; Streptophyta; Magnoliopsida; Malpighiales; Euphorbiaceae. The record is from RNAcentral.
AUAAAAUUAUAUUGUUUUGAACAAUAAAGGUUAAAUGAUUUAUUUAUUAAAGAUAAAAAUAUUUUUCUUAAAAAAUAAAAAGUGAGAAAUAUGAAAAAGAAAGGAAAAUAAAUAAAUAGCAGCCCAUUUAGAGAGAAGUAAUUUGAAGACUGAAGAAUCUUUUGGGGUAAUAAGCUCAAUGAAAAUCAUAAGGCAGAAGAGAUUCUUUUGAGGGGGGAAGUAAAU